GACGAACGCUGGCGGCGUGCUUAACACAUGCAAGUCGAACGGAAAGGCCCUGCGCUCGUGGGGUGCUCGAGUGGCGAACGGGUGAGUAACACGUGAGUAACCUGCCCCUGACUUUGGGAUAACUUCAGGAAACUGGGGCUAAUACCGGAUAGGAGCUCCUGCUGCAUGGUGGGGGUUGGAAAGUUUCGGCGGUUGGGGAUGGACUCGCGGCUUAUCAGCUUGUUUGUGGGGUAGUGGCUUACCAAGGCUUUGACGGGUAGCCGGCCUGAGAGGGUGACCGGCCACAAUGGGACUGAGGUACGGCCCAGACUCCUACGGGAGGCAACAGGGGAGAAUAUUACGGAGUGAGCGGGAGCCUGAUACGGCGGCGCCGCGUGCGGGAUGACGGGCUUCGAGGUGUAAACCGCUUUCGCCUGUAACGAAGCGUGAGUGACGGUAAUGGGUAAGGAAGCACCGGCUAACUACGUG
Molecule: ribosomal RNA, 468 nt
Filed under: uncultured bacterium
Lineage: Bacteria
Description: partial 16S ribosomal RNA
Rfam family: Bacterial small subunit ribosomal RNA
Source: RNAcentral